GUUCAGAGGAAUGGCAUUUGUCUUCCCAAGUCAGGGAGCCCUGCUUUUCUGUGGAUGGAUAAACACCUGCAUUCCCAUGGGAAAUGAUAUCCCAGACUCAAUUCCAAGUGGGCUUUGGCCUUCCUCAUCACAUCCCUGCAUAUACUGACUGUUCCCGUAGUCCUCCCAUGUGACUUCACUCACUGACACUACUCUUGGAACCAGCUCUGGUGAGAAGCAGUACAGCACCUUCCUCGUGACAGGGUGAGAGUUAACAGCUGCACUGGAUGCACCCUAGCUCCACACUGAGCUAGCCCAGGUACAUCUGCAAUGGGUCAUAAGCAGCAGGAACUUGUAGUGACUCAAUUGCUUCAAAUAAAGCCAGACAGUAAAAGGAGUUACUGGAAAAUGGAAGGAGUAUAAAACAGGAGCAGAGCUCUACCACCUCUUGGUCCAGGAACAUCAUCUGGCAAGGGUGGCAUUCUCGCAGUGCACAGAGGAAGUCAAACAGAGGGAUGUGUUCACUUUGAAAGCAGCUAAGCUUAGAGGUGCACCUUGAAGGCUUGCUUUGACAAUCUGCUGAUUCACAUAUGGACCUGCAGAGAGUGUUCAUGGAAUCAGCCAUGGAGAAAAGCCCCUCACUUUAGAGGAAAGAGAUUGUUAAUUAAAAUUUUAACAUACAACACAGUAGAAUACAAUGAGCAAAACCAUGCAAAUAAAAAAAUAAUAAUAAACAAAGGCAAGAGAAUUAUGUAUUACAGGAACAUUGAAUGCACAAAUUUGUGAUUUUAAGGUGACGGGA
Cyanistes caeruleus (blue tit) is the source of this 781-nucleotide non-coding RNA. Lineage: Eukaryota; Metazoa; Chordata; Aves; Passeriformes; Paridae. The record is from RefSeq and is a predicted model, not a curated record.